RNAcentral lists this long non-coding RNA (765 nucleotides) under Dermacentor andersoni. Its description in RNAcentral is "uncharacterized LOC126523574". Lineage: Eukaryota; Metazoa; Arthropoda; Arachnida; Ixodida; Ixodidae. The record is from RNAcentral.
CAAACCGGAUGUGACGUGUGCCAGUGGCGUACUCCCUGCCCCCAGAUAGGUACUUGUACGCCUAGGGAAAGACGCUGCUAGGUGCUGCUGCUAAAUCCCUGUGGUUUCUGCCAGCCACAUGCGGCCAUUGCGGGCUCACGCAGGUUCGUUCGCGUGGUCUUGUUACGCCUCGCUGGAUCGUGUUCAGUCAUGCCGUCCUUGCGCGGCGUGAUUGUCGGUGAGUCAGGUUAAAUUCUUAAAUAGGUCGCGCCUGCGCCUAAUUGAGUCUAUAAAAGCCUGCACAUUCAGUUUUGCUAGCUACAAUGCAGUGCGGCUGGCGUGAGCUGUCUCCACGAUGCGCUUCGAUCGUGUCGAUUUCGCCGUUCUGUAUGUUGGCGUUAACGACCUUGAAUGCAACAUGGAUCCACAAGAAAUGUGCGACAACAUCAAGGCCUUGAUUGUUCAACGAGACGGCCCCCGUCGUGCUGGUUUUCAAGGUGCUCCCUCGCUGCCUAGAAGAUGCUGAUGCGGAAUAGAAAAUGCAAAAACGUCGCUUGCUCAACCGCAAAUUGACGGCUACGCUGAAGCGCAUGCCGUGUCUGCGGAAUUUGAACCCCGAGCUUUCCAGAGUUCCUUGGAAAAUCCUCCCAUGCACCUGCCAUGUACAUUGCCCUCCUCCUCGAUGUGGCGUGCAAGAUGGCAGCAGCAGCUGUGGGAACAGUUGAAGAGGCGAAGAAAGGUCCACUUUAUAAUAGGUUGUAUGUAAAUAAAACUGAUCGACCUCAA